UUAGAAGCUGCGCCGGUGAACGCACCCAACCCGCCCCAGAGGCGGUCAUUCGCUUGCGCGAGUCCGAGUUGCCGGGUCCGCCCGAUCCCAAGCAACGUGAUGGAAUGCCGAGCUAAACCAAAAAAACAGAGGGCACUGAUGGCAGCCCUCCCAUCCCUCCAUCUCUCGGUUCUCCCGAAGCCUAGGGCACGAAAGGUGACUCGGUUUCUCGCUCCACUCUUCUCGACGACGAGAGUCGAACGGGGGCCGGCGGAAAACGGCGGCCAACCAAGAUUUGGGAGGUCUUUAAGUCCCUCUCUCUUUUUCUCUCUAAUCUUAUUUCCGUCCCUAUUAGUUUUUUUCUUUCUUUUGUCUCGCCCUCUC
Molecule: long non-coding RNA, 363 nt
Filed under: Elaeis guineensis (African oil palm)
Lineage: Eukaryota; Viridiplantae; Streptophyta; Magnoliopsida; Arecales; Arecaceae
Description: long non-coding RNA (EGUI_LNC074536)
Source: RNAcentral